GGGGAUUUAGCUCAGUGGCACAGCGCCUGCCUGGCAAGCACAAGGUCCUGAGUUCAAUCCCCG
RNAcentral lists this transfer RNA (63 nucleotides) under Heterocephalus glaber (naked mole-rat). It matches the Rfam family "tRNA". From Rfam's summary of the family: Transfer RNA (tRNA) molecules are approximately 80 nucleotides in length. Their secondary structure includes four short double-helical elements and three loops (D, anti-codon, and T loops). Lineage: Eukaryota; Metazoa; Chordata; Mammalia; Rodentia; Bathyergidae. The record is from Rfam by way of RNAcentral.